Molecule: ribosomal RNA, 492 nt
Filed under: uncultured bacterium
Lineage: Bacteria
Description: partial 16S ribosomal RNA
Rfam family: Bacterial small subunit ribosomal RNA
Source: RNAcentral
AGUGAACGCUGGCGGUAGGCCUAACACAUGCAAGUCGAACGGCAGCACAGUAAGAACUUGCUCUUACGGGUGGCGAGUGGCGUACGGGUGAGGAAUACAUCGGAAUCUACUUUUUCGUGUGGUAUAACGUAGGGAAACUUACGCUAAUACCGCAUACGACCUACGGGUGAAAGCAUGGGAUCUUCGGACCUUGCGCGAGUGAAUGAGCCGAUGUCGGAGUAGCUUGUUGGCGGGGUAAAGGCCCACCAAGGCGACGCUCCGUAGCUGGUCUGAGCGGAUGAUCCGCCACACUGGAAGGGAGACCGCGUCCAGACUCCUACGGGAGGCAGCAGUCGGGAAUCUUGGCCAAUGGGCGCAAGCCUGGUCCAGCCAUACCGCGUGGGUGAAGAAGGCCCUCGGGUUGUAAAGCCCUUUUGUUGGGAAAGAAAAGCAGCAGCUUAAUACCCCGCUGUUCUGACGGUACCCAAAGAAUAAGCACCGGCUAACUUCGUG